Molecule: long non-coding RNA, 397 nt
Organism: Notolabrus celidotus (New Zealand spotty)
Lineage: Eukaryota; Metazoa; Chordata; Actinopteri; Labriformes; Labridae
Exons: 3
Source: RefSeq, a predicted model, not a curated record
GUCCAUUUUCAGAAAAAUGCGCACCGCGCACACACACAUACACCCGUGCGCGCACAUGCACACUUUCAGAAUUUUGUCUUUUUGGCAUGCACUCUUUAAACACUACAAACUUUAUGCCAUAUUUCAUGGUUGGUCACUUUGGUCACCCCUCCAUGCCAAAGUUCAGGCUUGGCUCGGCACAGUUCUGAGAAGAUAAAAGCCUCUUCAGACUUGUCUUCCCACAUAGAUGAACCUGCGAUCCAGCCCAAAUACAGUUUAUUCCUGUCAGCGUCAUGGCAGGCAAAGCUAGGAGUUUUUAUUUUUCAGUGUUUAACACCAAGCCCUAUCGUCUCCAACUGAAUCAUCAAAAGACAGCUGAAGAGAGACAGGAAAUGUGGGGAGUAGUGAGCGGGGGAAG